Molecule: ribosomal RNA, 544 nt
Filed under: uncultured bacterium
Lineage: Bacteria
Description: bacterial SSU rRNA
Rfam family: Bacterial small subunit ribosomal RNA
Source: RNAcentral
AAUAGAUACCCCGGUAGUCCACGCCGUAAACGAUGAGUGCUAAGUGUUAGGGGGUUUCCGCCCCUUAGUGCUGCAGCUAACGCAUUAAGCACUCCGCCUGGGGAGUACGGUCGCAAGACUGAAACUCAAAGGAAUUGACGGGGGCCCGCACAAGCGGUGGAGCAUGUGGUUUAAUUCGAAGCAACGCGAAGAACCUUACCAGGUCUUGACAUCCCGUUGACCGCUAUGGAGACAUAGCCUUCCCUUCGGGGACAGCGGUGACAGGUGGUGCAUGGUUGUCGUCAGCUCGUGUCGUGAGAUGUUGGGUUAAGUCCCGCAACGAGCGCAACCCUUGAUCUUAGUUGCCAUCAUUUAGUUGGGCACUCUAAGGUGACUGCCGGUGACAAACCGGAGGAAGGUGGGGAUGACGUCAAAUCAUCAUGCCCCUUAUGACCUGGGCUACACACGUGCUACAAUGGACGGUACAAACGGUUGCCAACCCGCGAGGGGGAGCUAAUCCGAUAAAACCGUUCUCAGUUCGGAUUGUAGGCUGCAACUCGCCUAC